This 433-nucleotide ribosomal RNA is filed under the name uncultured bacterium. RNAcentral describes it as "bacterial SSU rRNA". It matches the Rfam family "Bacterial small subunit ribosomal RNA", at positions 958 to 1392 of the family's 1533-position model. The record is from RNAcentral.
AACGCGAAGAACCUUACCUAGGCUUGACAUGCAUUGAAAACUGUUAGAGAUAACAGGUCCGCAAGGGCUUUGCACAGGUGGUGCAUGGCUGUCGUCAGCUCGUGUCGUGAGAUGUUGGGUUAAGUCCCGCAACGAGCGCAACCCUCGUCUUGUGCUGCCAACAGGUAAUGCUGGGAACUCACAAGAGACUGCCGGGGUCAACUCGGAGGAAGGUGGGGACGACGUCAAGUCAUCAUGCCCCUUAUGUCUAGGGCUGCACGCAUGCUACAAUGGCCGAUACAAAGGGCUGCGAUACCGUAAGGUGGAGCGAAUCCCAUAAAGUCGGUCUCAGUUCGGAUUGAGGUCUGCAACUCGACCUCAUGAAGUUGGAGUUGCUAGUAAUCGCGGAUCAGCAACGCCGCGGUGAAUACGUUCCCGGGUCUUGUACACACCG